RNAcentral lists this ribosomal RNA (431 nucleotides) under uncultured bacterium. RNAcentral's name for it is "bacterial SSU rRNA". It matches the Rfam family "Bacterial small subunit ribosomal RNA", at positions 29 to 506 of the family's 1533-position model. The record is from RNAcentral.
GUGAACGCUGGCGGUGCGCCUAACACAUGCAAGUCGAGUGGGUUUAGACCCACGGCGAACGGCUGCGUAACACGUUGGUACUCCCCCCGAACUCAGGGAUAACCCCGCGAAAGCGGGAGUAAUACCGGAUGCCCCCGUAAGGGGAAAGAUUUAUCGGUUCGGGAGAGGCCUGCGGCCUAUCAGAUAGUUGGUGAGGUAACGGCUCACCAAGUCGAUGACGGGUAGCUGAUCUGAGAGGAUGAUCAGCCAGAAUGGAACUGAGACACGGUCCAUACUCCUACGGGAGGCAGCAGUGAGGAAUCUUCCGCAAUGGGCGAAAGCCUGACGGAGCGACACCGCGUGGAGGAUGAAGUCGUUUUUCGAUGUAAACUCCUGUUCUGAGGGACGAAAUUUUUGACGGUACCUCAGGAGAAAGCACCGGCUAAUUCUGU